This 253-nucleotide ribosomal RNA is filed under the name uncultured bacterium. RNAcentral describes it as "partial 16S ribosomal RNA". It matches the Rfam family "Bacterial small subunit ribosomal RNA", at positions 524 to 776 of the family's 1533-position model. The record is from RNAcentral.
UACGUAGGUGACCAGCGUUGUCCGGAAUUACUGGGCGUAAAGCGCACGUAGGCGGCUAUUCAAGUCGGGGGUGAAAGCCCGGGGCUCAACCCCGGAACUGCCCUCGAAACUAGAUAGCUAGAAUCUUGGAGAGGUCAGUGGAAUUCCGAGUGUAGAGGUGAAAUUCGUAGAUAUUCGGAAGAACACCAGUGGCGAAGGCGACUGACUGGACAAGUAUUGACGCUGAGGUGCGAAAGCGUGGGGAGCAAACAGG